CNUACGGGAGGCAGCAGUGAGGAAUAUUGGUCAAUGGACGCAAGUCUGAACCAGCCAUGUCGCGUGCAGGAUGACGGCCCUAUGGGUUGUAAACUGCUUUUUUACGGGAAUAAACUUAGCUACGUGUAGUUAACUGAAGGUACCGUAUGAAUAAGGAUCGGCUAACUCCGUGCCAGCAGCCGCGGUAAUACGGAGGAUUCGAGCGUUAUCCGGAUUUAUUGGGUUUAAAGGGUCCGUAGGCGGACUUGUAAGUCAGUGGUGAAAUCUCACAGCUCAACUGUGAAACUGCCAUUGAUACUGCUGGUCUUGAAUAUAGUUGAGGUAGGCGGAAUACGUUAUGUAGCGGUGAAAUGCAUAGAUAUAACGUAGAACACCGAUUGCGAAGGCAGCUUACUAAGCUAUUAUUGACGCUGAUGGACGAAAGCGUGGGGAGCGAACAGGAUUAGAUACCCUGGUAGUCCACGCCGUAAACGAUGAUUACUCGUUGUGCGCGAUACACAGUGCGCGACUGAGCGAAAGCAUUAAGUAAUCCACCUGGNNANNNNGUUGGCAACAAUGAAACUCAAAGGAAUUGACGG
This 578-nucleotide ribosomal RNA is filed under the name bacterium enrichment culture clone OB96. RNAcentral describes it as "bacterial SSU rRNA". It matches the Rfam family "Bacterial small subunit ribosomal RNA", at positions 338 to 916 of the family's 1533-position model. The record is from RNAcentral.